AUUUAUAUAGUUUACCAUAAAACAUUACAUUUUCACUGUAAAAAUAAAAAAAUAUUUUUUAUAAAUA
RNAcentral lists this transfer RNA (67 nucleotides) under Kamalia tattakana. Its description in RNAcentral is "tRNA-Glu". The record is from RNAcentral. Lineage: Eukaryota; Metazoa; Arthropoda; Insecta; Lepidoptera; Notodontidae.